AGCACGAUGGCCGAGUGGUUAAGGCGUUGGACUUAAGUUCCAAUGGUGGGUAACACCGCGUGGGUUCGAACCCCACUCGUGCUA
Molecule: transfer RNA, 84 nt
Filed under: Caenorhabditis briggsae
Lineage: Eukaryota; Metazoa; Nematoda; Chromadorea; Rhabditida; Rhabditidae
Also listed under: 1 other name
Description: tRNA-Leu (TAA) (tRNA-Leu-TAA-1-1)
Rfam family: tRNA
About the family: Transfer RNA (tRNA) molecules are approximately 80 nucleotides in length. Their secondary structure includes four short double-helical elements and three loops (D, anti-codon, and T loops).
Source: Rfam by way of RNAcentral